GAAUUGCCUUUGAUACUGCAUAUCUUGAGUCUGGUUGAGGUAGGCGGAAUGUAGUAUGUAGCGGUGAAAUGCAUAGAUAUACUACAGAACACCCAUUGCGAAGGCAGCUUACCAAACCAGCACUGACGCUCAGGCACGAAAGCGUGGGGAGCAAACAGGAUUAGAUACCCUGGUAGUCCACGCCGUAAACGUUGAUCACUCGUUGUUGGCAAUACACCGUCAGCGACUAAGCAAAAGCAUUAAGUGAUCCACCUGGGGAGUACGAUCGCCAGGUUGAAACUCACAGGAAUUGACGGGGGCCCGCACAAGCGGAGGAGCAUGUGGUUUAAUUCGAUGAUACGCGAGGAACCUUACCCGGGCUUAAAUGUAGGGUGCAUUGGUGUGAAAAC
RNAcentral lists this ribosomal RNA (389 nucleotides) under uncultured bacterium. RNAcentral describes it as "bacterial SSU rRNA". It matches the Rfam family "Bacterial small subunit ribosomal RNA", at positions 618 to 1008 of the family's 1533-position model. The record is from RNAcentral.